UGAGCUUGAUCCUGGCUCAGGAUGAACGCUAGCGGCAGGCUUAACACAUGCAAGUCGAGGGGUAUAGUUCUUCGGAACUAGAGACCGGCGCACGGGUGCGUAACGCGUAUGCAAUCUACCUUUUACAGAGGGAUAGCCCAGAGAAAUUUGGAUUAAUACCUCAUAGUAUAUAGCCCUGGCAUCAGGAUUAUAUUAAAGUCACAACGGUAAAAGAUGAGCAUGCGUCCCAUUAGCUAGUUGGUAAGGUAACGGCUUACCAAGGCUACGAUGGGUAGGGGUCCUGAGAGGGAGAUCCCCCACACUGGUACUGAGACACGGACCAGACUCCUACGGGAGGCAGCAGUGAGGAAUAUUGGACAAUGGGCGCAAGCCUGAUCCAGCCAUGCCGCGUGCAGGAUGACGGUCCUAUGGAUUGUAAACUGCUUUUAUACGAGAAGAAACAUCCCGACGUGUCGGGACUGACGGUAUCG
This 470-nucleotide ribosomal RNA is filed under the name Flavobacterium sp. 01WB03.4-3. Its description in RNAcentral is "bacterial SSU rRNA". It matches the Rfam family "Bacterial small subunit ribosomal RNA", at positions 1 to 480 of the family's 1533-position model. The record is from RNAcentral. Lineage: Bacteria; Pseudomonadati; Bacteroidota; Flavobacteriia; Flavobacteriales; Flavobacteriaceae.